This 23-nucleotide non-coding RNA is filed under the name Cricetulus griseus (Chinese hamster). Lineage: Eukaryota; Metazoa; Chordata; Mammalia; Rodentia; Cricetidae. The record is from RNAcentral.
GUAAAUAUGAACAAUGCUAAGUC